Molecule: microRNA precursor, 73 nt
Organism: Bos indicus x Bos taurus (hybrid cattle)
Lineage: Eukaryota; Metazoa; Chordata; Mammalia; Artiodactyla; Bovidae
Source: Ensembl
GGCUGAGCCGUUGGGGCUGGGCUGGGGGCAGGGAAUCUUGUCUGCUCUCUCCGCAGACCUCAGCCGCUCAACU